RNAcentral lists this ribosomal RNA (465 nucleotides) under Vreelandella stevensii. RNAcentral describes it as "partial 16S ribosomal RNA". It matches the Rfam family "Bacterial small subunit ribosomal RNA", at positions 338 to 795 of the family's 1533-position model. The record is from RNAcentral. Lineage: Bacteria; Pseudomonadati; Pseudomonadota; Gammaproteobacteria; Oceanospirillales; Halomonadaceae.
CCUACGGGAGGCUGCAGUGGGGAAUAUUGGACAAUGGGCGAAAGCCUGAUCCAGCCAUGCCGCGUGUGUGAAGAAGGCCUUCGGGUUGUAAAGCACUUUCAGUGGGGAAGAAAGCCUUGGGGCUAAUACCCUCGAGGAAGGACAUCACCCACAGAAGAAGCACCGGCUAACUCCGUGCCAGCAGCCGCGGUAAUACGGAGGGUGCGAGCGUUAAUCGGAAUUACUGGGCGUAAAGCGCGCGUAGGCGGUCUGAUAAGCCGGUUGUGAAAGCCCCGGGCUCAACCUGGGAACGGCAUCCGGAACUGUCAGGCUAGAGUGCAGGAGAGGAAGGUAGAAUUCCCGGUGUAGCGGUGAAAUGCGUAGAGAUCGGGAGGAAUACCAGUGGCGAAGGCGGUCUUCUGGACUGACACUGACGCUGAGGUGCGAAAGCGCGGGUAGCAAACAGGAUUAGAUACCCUUGUAGUC